GAUGAACGCUGGCGGCGUGCCUAAUACAUGCAAGUCGAGCGAACAGACGAGGAGCUUGCUCCUCUGACGUUAGCGGCGGACGGGUGAGUAACACGUGGAUAACCUACCUAUAAGACUGGGAUAACUUCGGGAAACCGGAGCUAAUACCGGAUAAUAUAUUGAACCGCAUGGUUCAAUAGUGAAAGACGGUUUUGCUGUCAAUUAUAGAUGGAUCCGCGCCGCAUUAGCUAGUUGGUAAGGUAACGGCUUACCAAGGCAACGAUGCGUAGCCGACCUGAGAGGGUGAUCGGCCACACUGGAACUGAGACACGGUCGAGACUCCUACGGGAGGCAGCAGUAGGGAAUCUUCCGCAAUGGGCGAAAGCCUGGCGGAGCAACGCCGCGUGAGUGAUGAAGGUCUUCGGAUCGUAAAACUCUGUUAUUAGGGAAGAACAAAUGUGUAAGUAACUAGGCACGUCUUGACGGUACCUAAUCAGAGAGCCACGGCUAACUACGUG
Molecule: ribosomal RNA, 497 nt
Filed under: uncultured bacterium
Lineage: Bacteria
Description: partial 16S ribosomal RNA
Rfam family: Bacterial small subunit ribosomal RNA
Source: RNAcentral